UUAAGCGACUAAGCGUACACGGUGGAUGCCCUGGCAGUCAGAGGCGAUGAAGGACGUGCUAAUCUGCGAAAAGCGUCGGUAAGGUGAUAUGAACCGUUACAGCCGGCGAUGUCCGAAUGGGGAAACCCAGUGCAAUUCGUUGCACUAUCGUUAACUGAAUACAUAGGUUAACGAGGCGAACCGGGGGAACUGAAACAUCUAAGUACCCCGAGGAAAAGAAAUCAACCGAGAUUCCCCCAGUAGCGGCGAGCGAACGGGGAGCAGCCCAGAGUCUGAAUCAGCUUGUGUGUUAGUGGAACGGUCUGGAAAGUCCGACGGUACAGGGUGAUAGUCCCGUACACCAAAAUGCACAGGUUGUGAACUCGAAGAGUAGGGCGGGACACGUGGUAUCCUGUCUGAAUAUGGGGGGACCAUCCUCCAAGGCUAAAUACUCCUGACUGACCGAUAGUGAACCAGUACCGUGAGGGAAAGGCGAAAAGAACCCCGGCGAGGGGAGUGAAAAAGAACCUGAAACCGUGUACGUACAAGCAGUGGGAGCACCUUCGGGUGUGACUGCGUACCUUUUGUAUAAUGGGUCAGCGACUUAUAUUCUGUAGCAAGGUUAACCGUAUAGGGGAGCCGCAGGGAAACCGAGUCUUAACUGGGCGUUAAGUUGCAGGGUAUAGACCCGAAACCCGGUGAUCUAGCCAUGGGCAGGUUGAAGGUUGGGUAACACUAACUGGAGGACCGAACCGACUAAUGUUGAAAAAUUAGCGGAUGACUUGUGGCUGGGGGUGAAAGGCCAAUCAAACCGGGAGAUAGCUGGUUCUCCCCGAAAGCUAUUUAGGUAGCGCCUCGUGAACUCAUCUUCGGGGGUAGAGCACUGUUUCGGCUAGGGGGUCAUCCCGACUUACCAACCCGAUGCAAACUACGAAUACCGAAGAAUGUUAUCACGGGAGACACACGGCGGGUGCUAACGUCCGUCGUGAAGAGGGAAACAACCCAGACCGCCAGCUAAGGUCCCAAAGUCAUGGUUAAGUGGGAAACGAUGUGGGAAGGCACAGACAGCCAGGAUGUUGGCUUAGAAGCAGCCAUCAUUUAAAGAAAGCGUAAUAGCUCACUGGUCGAGUCGGCCUGCGCGGAAGAUGUAACGGGGCUAAACCAUGCACCGAAGCUGCGGCAGCGACACUAUGUGUUGUUGGGUAGGGGAGCGUUCUGUAAGCCUGCGAAGGUGUGCUGUGAGGCAUGCUGGAGGUAUCAGAAGUGCGAAUGCUGACAUAAGUAACGAUAAAGCGGGUGAAAAGCCCGCUCGCCGGAAGACCAAGGGUUCCUGUCCAACGUUAAUCGGGGCAGGGUGAGUCGACCCCUAAGGCGAGGCCGAAAGGCGUAGUCGAUGGGAAACAGGUUAAUAUUCCUGUACUUGGUGUUACUGCGAAGGGGGGACGGAGAAGGCUAUGUUAGCCGGGCGACGGUUGUCCCGGUUUAAGCAUGUAGGCUGAUUGUCCAGGCAAAUCCGGAUAAUCAAGGCUGAGGUGUGAUGACGAGGCACUACGGUGCUGAAGUAACAAAUGCCCUGCUUCCAGGAAAAGCCUCUAAGCAUCAGGUAACAUCAAAUCGUACCCCAAACCGACACAGGUGGUCAGGUAGAGAAUACCAAGGCGCUUGAGAGAACUCGGGUGAAGGAACUAGGCAAAAUGGUGCCGUAACUUCGGGAGAAGGCACGCUGGUGUGUAGGUGAAGUCCCUGCGGAUGGAGCUGAGACCAGUCGAAGAUACCAGCUGGCUGCAACUGUUUAUUAAAAACACAGCACUGUGCAAACACGAAAGUGGACGUAUACGGUGUGACGCCUGCCCGGUGCCGGAAGGUUAAUUGAUGGGGUUAUCCGUAAGGAGAAGCUCUUGAUCGAAGCCCCGGUAAACGGCGGCCGUAACUAUAACGGUCCUAAGGUAGCGAAAUUCCUUGUCGGGUAAGUUCCGACCUGCACGAAUGGCGUAAUGAUGGCCAGGCUGUCUCCACCCGAGACUCAGUGAAAUUGAACUCGCUGUGAAGAUGCAGUGUACCCGCGGCAAGACGGAAAGACCCCGUGAACCUUUACUAUAGCUUGACACUGAACAUUGAGCCUUGAUGUGUAGGAUAGGUGGGAGGCUUUGAAGCGUGGACGCCAGUCUGCGUGGAGCCAACCUUGAAAUACCACCCUUUAAUGUUUGAUGUUCUAACGUUGGCCCCUGACCGGGGUUGCGGACAGUGUCUGGUGGGUAGUUUGACUGGGGCGGUCUCCUCCCAAAGCGUAACGGAGGAGCACGAAGGUUAGCUAAUCCUGGUCGGACAUCAGGAGGUUAGUGCAAUGGCAUAAGCUAGCUUGACUGCGAGCGUGACGGCGCGAGCAGGUGCGAAAGCAGGUCAUAGUGAUCCGGUGGUUCUGAAUGGAAGGGCCAUCGCUCAACGGAUAAAAGGUACUCCGGGGAUAACAGGCUGAUACCGCCCAAGAGUUCAUAUCGACGGCGGUGUUUGGCACCUCGAUGUCGGCUCAUCACAUCCUGGGGCUGAAGUAGGUCCCAAGGGUAUGGCUGUUCGCCAUUUAAAGUGGUACGCGAGCUGGGUUUAGAACGUCGUGAGACAGUUCGGUCCCUAUCUGCCGUGGGCGCUGGAGAAUUGAGGGGGGCUGCUCCUAGUACGAGAGGACCGGAGUGGACGCAUCACUGGUGUUCGGGUUGUCAUGCCAAUGGCACUGCCCGGUAGCUAAAUGCGGAAGAGAUAAGUGCUGAAAGCAUCUAAGCACGAAACUUGCCCCGAGAUGAGUUCUCCCUGAGACU
This 2792-nucleotide ribosomal RNA is filed under the name Klebsiella pneumoniae. RNAcentral describes it as "bacterial LSU rRNA". It matches the Rfam family "Bacterial large subunit ribosomal RNA". Lineage: Bacteria; Pseudomonadati; Pseudomonadota; Gammaproteobacteria; Enterobacterales; Enterobacteriaceae. The record is from RNAcentral.